GAUGAACGCUGGCGGCGUGCCUAAUACAUGCAAGUCGAGCGAACAGACGAGGAGCUUGCUCCUCUGACGUUAGUGGCGGACGGGUGAGUAACACGUGGAUAACCUACCUAUAAGACUGGGAUAACUUCGGGAAACCGGAGCUAAUACCGGAUAAUAUAUUGAACCGCAUGGUUCAAUAGUGAAAGACGGUUUUGCUGUCACUUAUAGAUGGAUCCGCGCCGCAUUAGCUAGUUGGUAAGGUAACGGCUUACCAAGGCGACGAUGCGUAGCCGACCUGAGAGGGUGAUCGGCCACACUGGAACUGAGACACGGUCCAGACUCCUACGGGAGGCAGCAGUAGGGAAUCUUCCGCAAUGGGCGAAAGCCUGACGGAGCAACGCCGCGUGAGUGAUGAAGGUCUUCGGAUCGUAAAACUCUGUUAUUAGAGAAGAACAAAUGUGUAAGUAACUAUGCACGUCUUGACGGUACCUAAUCAGAAAGCCACGGCUAACUACGUG
This 497-nucleotide ribosomal RNA is filed under the name uncultured bacterium. RNAcentral's name for it is "partial 16S ribosomal RNA". It matches the Rfam family "Bacterial small subunit ribosomal RNA", at positions 28 to 507 of the family's 1533-position model. The record is from RNAcentral.